UACAGAGGGUGCAAGCGUUGUUCGGAUUUACUGGGCGUAAAGGGCGCGUAGGCGGCCACCGCAAGUCAGUUGUGAAAUCUCUGGGCUUAACCCAGAACGGUCAGCUGAUACUGCGGGGCUAGAGUGCAGAAGGGGCAACUGGAAUUCUCGGUGUAGCGGUGAAAUGCGUAGAUAUCGAGAGGAACACCUGCGGCGAAGGCGGGUUGCUGGGCUGACACUGACGCUGACAGCGCGAAAGCUAGGGGAGCGAACGGG
Molecule: ribosomal RNA, 255 nt
Filed under: uncultured bacterium
Lineage: Bacteria
Description: partial 16S ribosomal RNA
Rfam family: Bacterial small subunit ribosomal RNA
Source: RNAcentral